This 253-nucleotide ribosomal RNA is filed under the name uncultured bacterium. RNAcentral's name for it is "partial 16S ribosomal RNA". It matches the Rfam family "Bacterial small subunit ribosomal RNA", at positions 524 to 776 of the family's 1533-position model. The record is from RNAcentral.
UACGUAGGGUGCGAGCGUUAAUCGGAAUUACUGGGCGUAAAGCGUGCGCAGGCGGUUUUGUAAGCCAGAUGUUAAAUCCCCGGGCUUAACCUGGGAAUGGCAUUUGGGACUGCAAGGCUCGAGUGCGGCAGAGGAGACUGGAAUUCCUGGUGUAGCAGUGAAAUGCGUAGAUAUCAGGAGGAACACCGAUGGCGAAGGCAGGUCUCUGGGCUGACACUGACGCUCAUGCACGAAAGCGUGGGGAGCAAACAGG